GGUAGGGGGCGUGAGAGCGCGGACCCCCACACUGGCACUGAGAUACGGGCCAGACUCCUACGGGAGGCAGCAGUAAGGGAUAUUGCGCAAUGGACGAAAGUCAGACGCAGCGACGCCGCGUGGGCGAUGAAGGCCUUCGGGUUGUAAAGCCCUUUUAUGGGGGAAGAGAAAACCGGACGGUACCCCAGGAAUAAGUCCCGGCUAACUACGUGCCAGCAGCCGCGGUAAAACGUAGGGGACAAGCGUUAUCCGGAUUCACUGGGCGUAAAGAGCGUUGAGGCGGUUCCGUAAGUUGGGCGUGAAAGCUCCGGGCUUAACUCGGAGAUGUCGUUCAAUACUGCGGGGCUUGAGGACAGCAGAGGAAGGUGGAAUUCCCGGUGUAGUGGUGAAAUGCGUAGAUAUCGGGAGGAACACCCGUGGCGAAGGCGGCCUUCUGGGCUGUUCCUGACGCUGAAGGCGAAAGCUAGGGGAGCGAACGGGAUUAGAUACCCCGGUAGUCCUAGCUGUAAACGAUGGAUGCUGGGUGUGGGGGGUGUAAAUUCCCUCUGUGCCGAAGCAAACGCGUUAAGCAUCCCGCCUGGGGGCUACGGCCGCAAGGCUAAAACUCAAACGAAUUGACGGGGGCCCGCACAAGCAGCGGAGCGUGUGGUUUAAUUCGAUGCUACACGAAGAACCUUACCUGGGUUUGACAUGCACGUGGUAGGGAACCGAAAGGGGACCGACCUUCGGGAGCGUGCACAGGUGCUGCAUGGCUGUCGUCAGCUCGUGCCGUGAGGUGUCGGGUUAAGUCCCGUAACGAGCGCAACCCUUGCCCUUAGUUACAAGUGUCUAAGAGGACUGCCCGGGACAACUGGGAGGAAGGUGGGGAUGACGUCAAGUCAGCAUGGCCUUUAUAUCCAGGGCUACACACACGCUACAAUGGCCGGUACAAUAGGUUGCGAAGUCGUGAGGCGGAGCCAAUCCUCAAAGCCGGUCUCAGUUCGAAUUGCAGUCUGCAACUCGACUGCAUGAAGCUGGAGUUGCUAGUAAUCGCAGGUCAGCUAUACUGCGGUGCAUACGUUCCCGGGCCUUGUACACACCGCCCGUCACGUCAUGGAAGCUGGCAACGCCUGAAGCCGGUGAGCUAACCCGAAAGGGAGGCAGCC
Molecule: ribosomal RNA, 1145 nt
Filed under: uncultured organism
Description: bacterial SSU rRNA
Rfam family: Bacterial small subunit ribosomal RNA
Source: RNAcentral